RNAcentral lists this ribosomal RNA (811 nucleotides) under uncultured bacterium. RNAcentral describes it as "bacterial SSU rRNA". It matches the Rfam family "Bacterial small subunit ribosomal RNA", at positions 62 to 870 of the family's 1533-position model. The record is from RNAcentral.
UCGAUCGGUAACAGGUGUAGCAAUACAUGCUGACGAGAGGCGGACGGGUGAGGAACGCUUGGGAAUCUGCCUAUCAGCGGGGGACAACCCGGGGAAACUCGGGCUAAUACCGCAUACGCUCUACGGAGGAAAGCCGGGGACCGCAAGGCCUGGCACUGAUAGAUGAGCCCAAGUCGGAUUAGCUAGUUGGCGGGGUAACGGCCCACCAAGGCGACGAUCCGUAGCUGGUCUGAGAGGACGAUCAGCCACACCGGAACUGAGACACGGUCCGGACUCCUACGGGAGGCAGCAGUGGGGAAUAUUGGACAAUGGGGGAAACCCUGAUCCAGCGACGCCGCGUGGGUGAAGAAGGCCUGCGGGUUGUAAAGCCCUUUCGGUAGGGACGAAAACUCUUGAUCUAACAAAUCAGGAGCUUGACUUAACCUACAUAAGAAGCACCGGCUAACUCUGUGCCAGCAGCCGCGGUAAUACAGAGGGUGCGAGCGUUAAUCGGAAUUACUGGGCGUAAAGCGCACGUAGGCGGCUUUGUAAGUCGGAUGUGAAAUCCCCGGGCUCAACCUGGGAACUGCACCCGAAACUACAUUGCUAGAGUAUGGGAGAGGGGAGGCGGAAUUUCCGGUGUAGCAGUGAAAUGCGUAGAUAUCGGAAGGAACAUCAGUGGCGAAGGCGGCCUCCUGGACCAAUACUGACGCUCAGGUGCGAAAGCGUGGGGAGCAAACAGGAUUAGAUACCCUGGUAGUCCCGCCCUAACGAUGAAACUGGAUGUCGGGAGGGUUUGCCUNCNGGGNCGUANCUAACGCGAAUAANUCCC